AGUUAACGUUGGCGGCGUGCCUAACACAUGCAAGUCGAACGCGUUCCGGGGGCAACUCCGGAGUGAGUGGCGAACGGGUGAGUAACACGUGGGUAAUCUUCCUUCAAGUGGGGAAUAAGCUCUCGAAAGGGAGUCUAAUACCGCAUGACGUUCCGGGACUCAAGUCCCGUAAUUAAAGCCGCAAGGCGCUUGGAGAUGAGCCUGCGUCCUAUUAGCUAGUUGGUAGGGUAACGGCCUACCAAGGCUGAGAUGGGUAGCCGGCCUGAGAGGGUGAACGGCCACACUGGAACUGAGACACGGUCCAGACUCCUACGGGUGGCUG
This 322-nucleotide ribosomal RNA is filed under the name uncultured Nitrospirota bacterium. RNAcentral describes it as "bacterial SSU rRNA". It matches the Rfam family "Bacterial small subunit ribosomal RNA", at positions 29 to 351 of the family's 1533-position model. The record is from RNAcentral. Lineage: Bacteria; Pseudomonadati; Nitrospirota.